RNAcentral lists this non-coding RNA (23 nucleotides) under Cricetulus griseus (Chinese hamster). Lineage: Eukaryota; Metazoa; Chordata; Mammalia; Rodentia; Cricetidae. The record is from RNAcentral.
CAUUCAUAUAAGAAUCCAGCAGC